This 977-nucleotide long non-coding RNA is filed under the name Oryctolagus cuniculus (rabbit). RNAcentral describes it as "lncRNA (ENSOCUG00000030307.1)". The record is from RNAcentral. Lineage: Eukaryota; Metazoa; Chordata; Mammalia; Lagomorpha; Leporidae.
AUAACUUAGAUAUUUGUACAUUUUUCUGGAGACAUAAAUGAGGACUAAAGAAAACUCCUCAACUCUCCUGAGUGCAUACUUAGUAUAUGGGGUUUUGAUUACUGAGUUUGAUUUUGAUAAACUUUGAACCUUUUAUAAUAUUCUAUUUCUGUUAACAAUAUAUCUGCAAUCCGUAAGCAGGCACUUCAGAAUUUUAACACAUUCUAGAAUUUUAACACACUGUAGAAUUUUAAUGCAUUCUUCCUGUCACUAACUUAAUUUUUAGAGGAAUUCUGAGUAUGCAGCACUCUCCCGAAAAUACAGGGACAGUGGAGUGAGGCUUGAAACAAGAGCAGACUCGUGUUGUGUAGGACGAGCAGAAGGAUGAUCAUAAAGCUAACACCAUAUUGAAAUUCAUUCAUCUUUGCAAAGGAAGAGUAGUCAGUCUUGGGCCUCCACAUCACGUUUCAGACCAAUGCAUCAUAAGAAAUAGAAGCCAGAGAAAUGGAACAAUGCCUACUGUGUGAUUCUAGUUACAUAAAAUGGGAAAGGAAUUACAUGCAGGGAAAGUCAACCUUUGAUUUUUAAUGUUAGAAUUGUGAUCAUCUCUGAAGAAACAGAGGAGAAUCUUUGGCAAGAACCAUAAAGGGGUUUCUAUAAAUAUGGUAAAUCUGAAUUAUUAACCAAGACACUUUCAUGUGAAUAUGAACAAUGCUAUGCUAAAUUAUACUUCAAUUUAAAUCUUUUACAAUUACAGAAAUAGAAGCACCAGGCAUCAAGAAAACUUGGCAAGUGCUUACUUCUAGUAGCAAGUAAAAAUAUGACUCAAGGAUCAUAUGAUUUUGCUAUAGAGGGAAUUAUACUCGACAACUUCCUUUGGAGGAAAAACCACAAAGACUGCUUCUGCCUGUAGGAACAUUAGGACACCCACAGCAUCCUGCACCUGCAAGGAAUGGCUACUAUUAAUAAGUGAAUGCCUGUGGUAACCCCACUCAUGG